This is an RNA transcript of Lagopus leucura (white-tailed ptarmigan), 2653 nucleotides long. It is a transcript of the gene named cyclin G1, with no coding region annotated. The record is from RefSeq and is a predicted model, not a curated record. Lineage: Eukaryota; Metazoa; Chordata; Aves; Galliformes; Phasianidae. The transcript is spliced from 8 exons.
GGGCUCGGCGCCCGGCCGGCCGAGAGCUGUGUAGGGUAAACUCGCGGCGUCGCGCGCACCGCCUCGGGACCCUCCUCCGGCCGAAGGGAGCAGUGAGGCGGCGACGAGAUGAUCGAGACGCUCGUGAGCGGCGAUGCCCGCGCGCUGCUCUACCGGCUGACGGCUCUGCUGGAGCAGGAGCUGCGCUGCCAGCCGAAGGGCUCCGGCCUGAGGCUGAUCGAGUCCGCCCACGACAACGGCCUCCGAAUGACCGCGAGGCUGCGAGACUUCGAAGUGAAGGAUCUGCUCAGCUUAACUCAGUUCUUCGGCUUCCACACGGAGACCUUCUCGCUGGCUGUCAACUUCUUAGAUAGGUUCUUGUCCAAAAUGAAGGUACAGCCUAAACACUUGGGCUGUGUUGGACUGAGCUGCUUCUACCUAGCUGUGAAGGCAACAGAAGAAGAGAGAAAUGUUCCCUUAGCCACCGACUUAAUCCGAAUAAGCCAGUAUAGGUUCACUGUUUCUGAUAUGAUGAGAAUGGAGAAAAUCGUAUUGGAGAAGCUUUCUUGGAAAGUCAAAGCAACAACAGCCUUCCAGUUUCUACAGCUUUAUCAUUCGCUCAUUCAUGAGAAUUUAAGCUGUGAAAGGAAAAGAUACCUUAAUUUUGAGAGACUUGAGACCCAGCUUAAGGCAUGUCACUGCAGAAUCAUGUUUUCUAAAGCUAAGCCUUCUGUUUUAGCACUGUCUAUCAUGGCACUAGAGAUAGAAGAACAAAAACUACUGGAGUUGACAGAGGCAUUGGAAUUUCUGCAGUUGCAUUCCAAGAUAAACAACAGAGAUUUGACCUUCUGGAAGGAAUUGGUGUUGAAGUGCCUUACAGAAUAUUCCUCAAGCAAGUGUUCCAAACCAAAUGUCCAGAAAUUAAAAUGGAUCGUGUCUGGACGUACAGCACGGCAGCUUAAGCAUAGCUAUUAUAGAAUAACACACCUUCCUACAAUUCCAGAAACCAGCUCAUAAUAGGUAACCUGUUGGAGAUGUUAACGUAAAUGUGGUAGGCCUGUCACAGAGGCUGGUCUGUUCUCAUGUUCAUGCUUGAGCCUGUGGUGUACCUAAGGAAGUGGCUACCUAAUAUGUGAACACUGGAAAUGGAACUGAUGCUUUGAUGUGCUCUGGGAGCAGAAAUAUAUUCUACAGACAUUACGACCUCAUUCAAACUUAAAUACGGAGUAGAACUGGAGUACAAUAAAAGGAGAAAACCAGCCUGAAACUUGUUCAUAGACAGAUGAAGGUUCAAGAAACAUCUUAAUAAUGAAGAACUUGACUUUUGCAAGAAUAUAUAGUGGUUCAGACUAGAAUUCCUUGCAGCAAAUGUUGUUUUCCAUGACUAUGAUACCUAACGUUAGCUUUUGGUCUUACUAGAUGAUUUACUAUUUAAGCAGUAAAAUAUCACAAUACUGAUGAAAAGAAUUUAAUACCUUAUAGUUUGUAGAGCAGCUUGUGUAAUCUAACCAUGUUUUACAGCAAGUGCAGGUGCAAAAUUAUAUAUUAAAUGGAAAAAAUUGGUUCACUUUCCAAAGACUACUUGACACUAGGUAAACGUAUGCAGUAGCACAGUGCUUCAGUUUCUCAGACAAACUAAAGACCACCUUACUCAGCAUUGAUAGAAUAACAAAUGCUCAUCAGUCCAGCUGACAGGCUGUUUGGAUAGCAGCACACACCUGUGUUCUUACAGGGUAGGGUGCUCACCUUUACCAUGGACACAAACUGAAAAUAAGGUUUUGUGGUGCCUGUUGUGUAGUCAUUAAGAAUGCAUCAGUAACAUCGGUAUUAUAUAAGAGGUGUGGUUUGCUGAGAUUAUGGGCAAGUGUGUGGUAACUUCAUAAUACCUAGUGCUGGCUGGGGAGAAAACACCACAGCAUCUGCUCCAAAUUGGGCAUCAGUUUGCCAGGAUUCCACUGUACAAGAAGUAAAUGCUGAUACUGAACAAGAGGGACAAGUACAGUCAGAAAUGUUCAGGCUUCACUGUGCUGCUACCUACAGGCUACUCAAGAUUAGGAAAACGUGAAGACUUGCAACCAUAGUCUGUUUGACAGCUUACUAAGUAAAAUUGCUGAUUUUCCCUGAAGACUAAGUCAGUACUUGAGGUGUAUCAUGCUGCUGGAACUAACGUGAAAGUGAACAUGAAGAAUAUGUUAUUGUAUGUAAGAUGGAUGAGGAUUUGGGGGAAUGUUGCUUAUGACUCCUUGAGUUCUGUUAAAAACCGGUUGUUGUAUGAAUGGAGUCAGUGGAGAAGGAAGGAAUCUGCAUGUCUGGAAUACUCUGUGGACUUACCAGCUAGCCUGCCAAAUCCAUCUCCUUUAUGGUAAUAAUGGAUGAGGAGAUAAUUCUUCACUUCUCUCAAACUAGUUAAACUUCUCACAGAAAACUACAUACCAAAGCUCCAUACUGGACAAAUCAAGCUUUCUCAUAAACUCAUGGGAAUGGUUAUGCUGCAUAGUAUUGAAUUGCAUUUUCCAUCCACCAGUGCAAUAUAUGCAUUGUGCUGAAAGGAACACAAGUGAUGUAGACAGAUGGGCAGUCAGCCUACUGGGAGAUUGCAAGAUGCAGCAUGCAAUUGUGCUGGUAUUGUCGUGUCUCAAGAUAUGUACCUUUCAAUUAAACAUUGAAAUGCAAA